AGGUACCGGGGUGUAUACGGGAGGGAUGUUGCCCGGGUAUGCCGGCUGUUGGCUCGUAGACUGCGGCAGCUCGUGGUUUUCGUACUGAAAAUACAUCAGCAAACGUAAAGACGAGAUUGAUAGACUGUGCUUGCCGUAAAGUCACUAAAGUCGCAGCCCGACGCUGAACUGGUGUCUCUGUACUAGACAGCCCCCACUAACGCAUUAGACUGGAAAACUGCAACACUGAUUCUACUGUUGCCGGGUACAGAGAGCAGCACUCAAACACGGCCGCAAGCAAAAGCAAAAUAGCAAGCAAAAUAAUAAACGAUAAAGCUUUAAAUUCAAUAAUUUGAUACGAAAGCUAGCAAAGGGGCCAAGUUACCGAGUUACGGUACGGAUGAAAGGUGAAGACAUUUCGGUAACGAGUCGUGCAGGUGGUAGGCUGCUGUCAACCCCCACCCCCCAACCCUCCCUGAAUUGGGUCUAGCCUGAGGGUACCUCUUUUUACCUGCGCUCAUAAAGAGUUCAGACGGCGAACGUGAAACUUUCUAAUUACGAUUCAAUCCAGAACAAUACCUUGUAGGUUCACUACGCUUGCUGAUUUUUAAUAUUCAUGCAAAUAAAAAUAAAGUGUUAACACUCUCACAAGAAAUCCGACUAAAUUUGGAAGUAUGCUAUGAUUUUAUUUACCUCACAAACAUACAAAAUAAUGCUGCAUAUCUUUCAGAAAACAAAACAUUGAAGAACGCUACGUACCAGGAAAAGCGUUUUUUUGAUACAGUGUUCUUACCUUAACGUGGCCCGCGGAUAAUUAUUUCAAAGCUGCAUUUCUGAAAUAAUUACCCACGGGCCACCUUAAAUUCAACUGGUUAGUAUUUUUCAUAAAUGAUAUACUGAAACAUAGUUCAGGCAAUAAGAAUGCCCUCGUUUAUCGACAAUCAAAGACCCACUAUGGCGAUCUCAACACAACAACUUUGACCGUGAGUCAAAAACAUAUGUAUCCUUCCAACUGUAACAUGGUUAUACUUCCAUAACUGUAACGUUGUCACGAUUACGAUGUUCUUUGAGGUAACCAAAUGAAUUUGUCACUGCUUCAUCGACAAAGGCAUCCCCGCAACAUCUUUCAUUAAUGUCAAAUUGGCUUUCGAGAAUCCCGUACAUAUGGUUUUCUGUUUAUCACUAGACCUCUUUCUUUUAGAAUACUGGCGCGUAGUCAGUUUCUCGGAAAUGAGCCACCAAUCAUGUACGACGAAUGCAACAUC
Molecule: long non-coding RNA, 1244 nt
Organism: Nematostella vectensis (starlet sea anemone)
Lineage: Eukaryota; Metazoa; Cnidaria; Anthozoa; Actiniaria; Edwardsiidae
Exons: 2
Source: RefSeq, a predicted model, not a curated record